Molecule: ribosomal RNA, 908 nt
Filed under: Akramowskia valentini
Lineage: Eukaryota; Metazoa; Mollusca; Gastropoda; Stylommatophora; Clausiliidae
Description: partial 16S ribosomal RNA
Source: RNAcentral
UUAAACUAUAAGAUCUAAUCAACUUUUUAUUUCCCGAAAUAAAUAGAGCUAAUUAUAAGAUAUUUUUUAGGAAAUAAUUGAUCUAUGGUGUGGUAUAAUCAUAGUUAAAUCUUUAAUUAGGGGUGAAAGGCUUUACAAUAUUUAUAGAUAUCUGGAUUAGCUUUAAAAAUAUUUAGUAUUUAUUUCAAAUGUGAAGUUUUAAGGUUUCGCAUCUAUAAUAUUUUCAUUGUUCUCAUAAAUUGUUUCGUUUUAAUAUAUUCUAACUUAAGAGUUGUUUAUUAAUAACUUUUUGACAAAAAUUUAUUAAUUUAAAGUUAUAAUUUUCAGAAUAUAAUAAUAAUUUAAUUCUGUUUAAAUAAGUAUAUAAUAAACAUGAAAAUUUAUUAAGGAACUCGGCAAAAACAAUCUCAUCUGUUUAUCAAAAACAUUAGCUAUUUGUUUUCAUAAUUAGUAUACUCUGCCCAGUGAUAUAAGUUUAACGGCCGCAGUACACUGACUGUGCAAAGGUAGCAUAAUAAUUUGGUUUAUAAUUGAAGUCUGGUAUGAAUGGAAUUAUGGGAUUGAGCUGUCUUAAUAAAAUUUAAAUCAAAAUUACUUAUGAAGUGCAAAGACUUCUAAUUCCAAUAAUAGACGAGAAGACCCUAUGAAUUUAUAAUAUAAUGGCUCAGUAAGUCAAUUCUUUUUUGUUGGGGCAACAAGCUUUCAGUAUAUAUUAAAAAAUAGCUAUAUCACUAGUACUAGUAGUAGUCAUAAAUCUGUUAUUAUAAACCAAGUUCUACUAUAAAUAAAGAAAUUACUAUAGGGAUAACAGCAUAAUUUUAUUAUUAAGAUUGUGACCUCGAUGUUGGACUAGGAAUUGGUUAAGAUAGCCUCUUUACCAAAAAGUUCUGUUCGAACUAUAAUCUCCU